Molecule: long non-coding RNA, 1802 nt
Filed under: Homo sapiens (human)
Lineage: Eukaryota; Metazoa; Chordata; Mammalia; Primates; Hominidae
Description: HSALNT0333265
Source: RNAcentral
CCCAGGUGCAAGUGGGUAUAAAGGCAAGUGUGUUGUGGAGUCACAGGGGGCUUUUGGGCAUUGGUGCUUUGCUCCACUCCCAUCUCCCUGCCGCCAAAUCAUCAGAGGCUUCCUCUGGCCUGAUACAGCUGGGCUCUGGGAAGGAGAAGCAUUCUGUUCAGGAAAUGUAGUUGUCCUGCUGUGUGCUCUAUCCUUUCCUGACCUCACCUGAAACGCUCUGCUUGGCGCUGGAGAUCACGUCACAAACCAAAGACAAUGAAAAAUCUAAACACAACUACCAUGUGAAGAAUAGCUGAUGUUGCUGGAGAUAUGUAGUCUGGAGAGGAGUUGAGAAGAUUAAAUUGUUCAAAUAUUUGAAGGACUUCUUUGUGUUCCUUUAGAGCAGGGGUGUCCAAUCUUUUGGCUUCCCUGGGCCACACUGGAAGAAGAAGAAUUGUCUUGGGCCACACAUAAAAUACACGAACACUAAUGGUAGCUGAUGAGCUAAAAAAAAAAAAAAUUGCAAAAAAUCUCAUAAUGUUUUUAAAAAGUUUACAAAUUUGUGUUGUGCCGCCUUCAAAACCAUCCUGGGCCGUAUUGGCCUGAAGGCUAUGGGCUGGGCAGGCUUGCUUUAGAGGAUAGAAGUAGAAUCAACAGGUCAAAGUUACAAAUAAGCAAAUUUCAGCUCAGGAUAAAGGAGAAUUUUCUAGAAUAUAACUGGCUGAUAGUGAAGUCUUGAAUGCCCAACUCUCAACUGACUGAGCAAGAAUCAUGGCUGGCUGGCACAGCCAGGCGGACAAGUGUGGCUUGGUGGAAAGAGUAUGGUCCAAAGACCACAGUCAAGUCCUGGCCCUGCCCCUUACCAGCUAUGUGACUUACAUGCCAGCAAGUCUCAGUUUCCUCAGCAGUCAGAUAGAGGUGAUGAUACACAUUGCAUGGGGUUCUAUAAAUCAAGUCUAGAGUAGAAAGAGGUUUAAUGACAUAUGACUGACGGGUGGUGCCAUGUGGAAAAUUACCUUGAUGCAACAGAAGCCUCCAAGUAUAUGCUGCAAGACAAGCUGUCCCAGAGGUCAUGGAACAGAGAGGCUCACAGGCCAAAUUAAAAGGCUCAAAUCACAUAUUUGAUUAAAUUAUUUUGAAACACAUAAGGAGAUGAAAGAGAAUAAGAUGGAGUCCAUUAAGAUGCUUACAACAGGGUUACAAGUGAGGUGGAAGGUCCACACUACGUAAAACCGGGGCUGUGCAAUGUUCACAAAACAAAGACUGACACUAAACUGCUAAAAACCUGAUUGUGUCCCUAUGUAUAAAUGUCCUUGCCGUUUAGUCAUUUACAUAUGGCAUAUACCACAUGGGAUAAAUCAGAAGACCUCAGAGAUUUGUCAAUGUAUUCAGUGUUCAUAAUAUUAUCUCUAAAUAGAAGAUUCUAAACUCCAAACUGAUAAUGCCGAUAAUAAAAAAUAAACCAGGCCUAUACUGUCUUGUCAUCAACAGAUGGUUCCUGUUUUUCCCUCAUACUUAUCUAAGGGGCCUUGCUACAAACUGCAGCUCUAAAAUUGUUUUAGAAGAAGCAUCAAAGAAUCUCAGUAACAGAUGAUACCUAACUCCUGUCAGACUCUACUCAAAGACUGAAUUGGGAUUUUCAAGACUCUUUCAGUUCAGAAGUAGACUUCAUGAAGGUAGAGCUUAACCCAAGAUCAAUAAAAUAAGAACUAAUUAACCCAGGACUAAAAUAACUGACCACACUAUGGUUAAUGUUCUAUUGUGAAUAGCUUCUUUUUUUUUAUUUUAUUUUUUGAGACAGAGUCUCUCUCUGUCACCCAGGC